AGAUUCUGCUAGGGGAGCCGAGUUUGGCUGAGAGAGAUCAAAGAAGAUUGAUACCCUUUAAACCUGAUCCGGGUGAUGCCGGCGUAGGGAAGCGGUCCAAACCUAUU
Molecule: non-coding RNA, 107 nt
Filed under: Bacillus sp. (in: firmicutes)
Lineage: Bacteria; Bacillati; Bacillota; Bacilli; Caryophanales; Bacillaceae
Also listed under: 1 other name
Description: Bacillus sp. TPP sequence
Rfam family: TPP riboswitch aptamer (THI element)
About the family: Vitamin B(1) in its active form thiamin pyrophosphate (TPP) is an essential coenzyme that is synthesised by coupling of pyrimidine and thiazole moieties in bacteria.
Source: RNAcentral